RNAcentral lists this long non-coding RNA (6859 nucleotides) under Citrus x clementina. RNAcentral's name for it is "Citrus clementina (C. clementina) long non-coding RNA (CCLE_LNC002193)". Lineage: Eukaryota; Viridiplantae; Streptophyta; Magnoliopsida; Sapindales; Rutaceae. The record is from RNAcentral.
CCCACCCCCCAAGGCUAUAGCCCACCCGUUUUUGUGGUCUUUUUCCGCUGGACGAACUUGGCGCCCCGGCCUUCGGGCAGUUAUUUUUGGGCGCGGCUUUGGUCGCGGCCUAUUUUUGGUACACGGAGGCCCCUCGCAAAGUCUCGCGGCAUUCCGAGUCCGGCGGACGAAGUUGGCCAGCCCCACCCCCCAAGGCUAUAGUCCACCCGUUUUUGUGGCCUUUUUCCGCUGGAAGAACCUGGCGCCCCGGCCUACGGGCGGUUAUUUUUGGGCGCGGCUUUGCCCGCAAUCUAUUUUUGGCACACGGAGGCCCCUCGCAAAGUGUCGCGGCAUUCCGAGUCCGGCGGACGAAGGUGGCCAGCCCCACCCCCCAAGGCUAUAGCCCACCCGUUUUUGUGGCCUUUUUCCGCUGGACGAACUUGGCGCCCCAGCCUUCGGGCGGUUAUUUUUGGGCGCGGCUGUGCCCAUUGCCUAUUUUUGGCAUACGGAGGCACCUCGCAAUGUCUCGCGCCAUUCCUAGUCUGGCGGACGAAGUGGACCAGCCCCACCCCCCAAGGCUAUAGCCCACCCGUUUUUGUGGCCUUUUUCCGCUGGACGAAAUUGGCGCCCCGGCCUUCGGGCAGUUAUUUUUGGCGCGGCUGUGCCCGCGGCCUAUUUUUGGUACACGGAGGCAGCUCGCAAAGUCUCGCGCCAUUCUGAGUCCGGCGGACGAAGUUGGGCAGCCCCACCUCACAAGGCUAUAGCCCACCCGUUUUUGUGGCCUUUUUCCGCUGGACGAAGUUGGCGCCCCGGCCUUCGGGCGGUUAUUUUUAGGCGCGGCUUUGCCCGCGGCCUAAUUUUGGCAAACGGAGGCCCCUCGCAAAGUGUCGCGGCAUUCCGAGUCCGGCGGACGAAGUUGGCCUGCCCACCACCCAAGGCUAUAGCCCACCCGUUUUUGUGGCCUUUUUCCGCUGGACGACUUGGCGCCCCGGCCUUCUGGCAGUUAUUUUUGGGCGCGUCUAUGCCCAUUGCCUAUUUUUGGCAUACGGAGGCACCUCGCAAUGUCUCGCUCCAUUCCUAGUCCGGCGGACGAAGUUGGCCGGCCCCACCCCCCAAGGCUAUAGUCCACCCGUUUUUGUGGCCUUUUUCCGCUGGAAGAACCUGGCGCCCCGGCCUACGGGCGGUUAUUUUUGGGCGCGGCUUUGCCCGCAAUCUAUUUUUGGCACAUGGAGGCCCCUCGCAAAGUGUCGCGGCAUUCCGAGUCCGGCGGACGAAUUUGGCCAGCCCCACCCCCCAUGGCUAUAGCCCACCCAUUUUUGUGGCCUUUUUCCGCAGGACAAACUUGGCGCCCCGGCCUUCCGGCGGUUAUUUUUGGGUGCGGCUGUGCCCGUGGCCUAUUUUUGGCACCCGGAGGCGCCUCGCAAAGUCUCGUACAAUUCCGAGUCCGGCGGAAGAAGUUGGCCAGCCCCACCUGCCAAGGCUAUAGCCCACCCGUUUUUGUGGGCUUUUUCCGCUGGACGAACUUGGCGCCCCGGCCUUCGGGCGGUUAUUUUUGGGCACGGCUCUGCCCGCAGCCUAUUUUUGGCACACGGAGGCACCUCGCAAAGUCUCGCGCCAUUCCGAGUCCGGCGGACGAAGUUGGCCAGCCCCACCCCCCAAGGCUAUAGCCCACCCGUUUUUGUGGCCUUUUUCCGCAGGACGAACUUGGCGCCCCGGCCUUCGGUCGGUUAUUUUUUAGCACGGCUGCGUCCGUGGCCUAUUUUUGGCACACGGAGGCACCUCGUAAAGUCUCGCGCCAUUCCGAGUCCGGCGGAAGAAGUUGGCCAGCCCCACUGCCCAAGGCUAUAGCCCACCCGUUUUUGUGGCCUUUUUCCGCUGGACGAAAUUGGCGCCCCGGCCUUUGGGCGGUUAUUUUCGGCGCGGCUGUGCCCACGGCCUAUUUUUAGCACACGGAGGUGCCUCGUAAAGUCUCGCGCACUUCCGAGUCCGGCGGACGAAGUUGGCCAGCCCCACCUGCCAAGGCUAUAGCCCACCCGUUUUUGUGGGCUUUUUCCGCUGGACGAACUUGGCGCCCCGGCCGUCGGGUGGUUAUUUUUGGGCACGGCCAUGCCCGCGGCCUAUUUUUGGCACACGGAGGUGCCUCGCAAAGCCUCGCACCAGUCCGAGUCCGGAGGAAGAAGUUGAGCAGCCCCACCCCCCAAGGCUAUAGCCCACCCCUGUUUGUGGGUUUUUUCCGUUGGACGAACUUGGCGCCCUGGCCUUCGGGCUGUUAUUUUCAGGCACGGCUGCGGCCACGGCCUAUUGUUGGCACACGGAGGCACCUCGCAAAGUCUCGCGCCAUUCCGAGUCCGGCGGACGAAGUCGGCCAGCCCCACCCCCCAAGGCUAUAGCCCACCCAUUUUUGUGGCCUUUUUCCGCAGGACGAACUUGGCGCCCCGGCCUUCGGGCGGUUAUUUUUGUGCGGCUGUGCCCGUGGCCUUUUUUUUGCACACGGAGGCACGUCGCAAAGUCUCGCACCAUUCCGGGUCCGGCGGACGAAGUUGGGCAGCCCCACCCCCCGAGGCUAUAGCCCCCCCGUUUUUGUGGCCUUUUUCCGCUGGACGAACUUGGCGCCCCGGCCCUCGGGCGGUUAAUUUUAGGCGCGGCUGUGCCCGUGGCCUAUUUUUGGCACACGGAGGUGCCUCGCAAAGUCUCGCGCCAUUCCGAGUCCGGCGUACGAAGUUGGCCUGCCCCACCCCCCGAGGCUAUAGCCCACCCGUUUUUGUGGGCUUUUUCCCCUGGACGAACUUGGUACCCCGGCCUUCGGGCGGUUAUUUGGCUGUGCCCGCGGCCUAUUUUUGGCACACAGAGGCUCCUCGCAAAGUCUCGCAGCAUUCCGAGUCCGGUGGACGAAGUUGGCCAGCCCCACCCCCCAAUGCUAUGCCCACCCGUUUUUGUGGCCUUUUUCCGCUGGACGAACUUGGCGCCCCGGCCUCCGGGCGGUUAUUUUGGGCGCGGCUUUGCCCGCGGCCUAUUUUUGGCACACGGAGGCCCCUCGCAAAGUCUUACGGCAUUCCGAAGCCGGCGGACGAAGUUGGCCAGCCCCACCCCCCAAGGCUAUAGCCCACCCGUUUUUGUGGGCUUUUUCCGCUGGACGAACUUGGCGCCCCGGCCUUCGGGCGUAUAUUUUUGGGCGCGGCUGUGCCCGUAGCCUAUUUUUGGUACAUGGAGGUGCCUCGCAAAGUCUCCCACCAUUCCGAGUCCGGCGGACGAAGUAGGCCAGCCCCACCCCCCAAGGCUAUAGCCCACCCGUUUUUGUGGCCUUUUUCCGCUGGACGAACUUGGCGCCCCGGCCUUCGGGAGGUUAUUUUUGGGCGCGGCUGUGCCCGCGGCCUAUUUUUGGCACACGGAGGCGCCUCGUAAAGUCUCGCACCAUUCUGAGUCCGGCGGAUGAAGUGGGCCAGUCCCAGCCCCCAAGGCUAUAGCCCACCCGUUUUUGUGGCCUUUUUCCGCGGGACGAACUUGGCGCCCCGGCCUUUGGGCGGUUAUUUUUUACCGCGGCUGUGUCCGUGGCCUAUUUUUGGCACACGGAGGCGGCUCGCAAAGUCUCGCGCCAUUCCGAGUCCGGCGGACGAAGUUGGCCAGCCCCAACCCCCAAGGCUAUAGCGCACCCGUUUUUGUGGCCUUUUUCCGCUGGACGAACUUGGCGCCCCGGCCUUCGGGCAUAUAUUUUUGGGCACGGCUUUGCCGACGGCCUAUUUUUGGCACACGGAGGCCCCUCAAAAAGUCUCGCGGCAUUCCGAGUCCGGCGGAUGAAGUGGGCCAGCCCCAGCCCCCAAGGCUAUAGUACCCGUUUUUGUGGCCUUUUUCCGCGGGACGAACUUGGCGCCCCGGCCUUCGGGCGGUUAUUUUUUAGCGCGGCUGUGCCCACAGCCUAUUUUAGUCACACGGAGGUGCCUCGCAAAGUCUCGCGCCAUUCCGAGUCCGGCGGACGAAGUUGGCCAGCCCCAUCCCCCAAGGCUAUAGCCCACCCAUUUUUGUGGCCUUUUUCCGCUGGACGAACUUGGCGUCCCGGCCUUCGGGCAGUUAUUUUUGGGUGCGGCUUUGCACACAGCCUAUUUUUGUCACACGGAGGCACCUCGCAAAGUCUCGCGCCAUUCCGAGUCCGGCGGACGAAGUCGGCCAGCCCCACCCCCCAAGGCUAUAGCCCACCCAUUUUUGUGGCCUUUUUCCGCAGGACGAACUUGGCGCCCCGGCCUUCGGGCGGUUAUUUUUGUGCGGCUGUGCCCGUGGCCUUUUUUUUGCACACGGAGGCACGUCGCAAAGUCUCGCACCAUUCCGGGUCCGGCGGACGAAGUUGGGCAGCCCCACCCCCCGAGGCUAUAGCCCACCCGUUUUUGUGGCCUUUUUCCGCUGGACGAACUUGGCGCCCCGGCCCUCGGGCGGUUAAUUUUAGGCGCGGCUGUGCCCGUGGCCUAUUUUUGGCACACGGAGGUGCCUCGCAAAGUCUCGCGCCAUUCCGAGUCCGGCGUACGAAGUUGGCCUGCCCCACCCCCCGAGGCUAUAGCCCACCCGUUUUUGUGGGCUUUUUCCCCUGGACGAACUUGGUACCCCGGCCUUCGGGCGGUUAUUUGGCUGUGCCCGCGGCCUAUUUUUGGCACACAGAGGCUCCUCGCAAAGUCUCGCAGCAUUCCGAGUCCGGUGGACGAAGUUGGCCAGCCCCACCCCCCAAUGCUAUGCCCACCCGUUUUUGUGGCCUUUUUCCGCUGGACGAACUUGGCGCCCCGGCCUCCGGGCGGUUAUUUUGGGCGCGGCUUUGCCCGCGGCCUAUUUUUGGCACACGGAGGCCCCUCGCAAAGUCUUACGGCAUUCCGAAGCCGGCGGACGAAGUUGGCCAGCCCCACCCCCCAAGGCUAUAGCCCACCCGUUUUUGUGGGCUUUUUCCGCUGGACGAACUUGGCGCCCCGGCCUUCGGGAGUAUAUUUUUGGGCGCGGCUGUGCCCGUAGCCUAUUUUUGGUACAUGGAGGUGCCUCGCAAAGUCUCCCACCAUUCCGAGUCCGGAGGACUAAGUAGGCCAACCCCACCCCCCAAGGGUAUAGCCCACCCGUUUUUGUGGCCUUUUUCCGCUGGACGAACUUGGCGCCCCGGCCUUCGGGAGGUUAUUUUUGGGCGCGGCUGUGCCCGCGGCCUAUUUUUGGCACACGGUGGCGCCUCGUAAAGUCUCGCACCAUUCUGAGUCCGGCGGAUGAAGUGGGCCAGUCCCAGCCCCCAAGGCUAUAGCCCACCCGUUUUUGUGGCCUUUUUCCGCGGGACGAACUUGGCGCCCCGGCCUUUGGGCGGUUAUUUUUUACCGCGGCUGUGUCCGUGGCCUAUUUUUGGCACACGGAGGCGGCUCGCAAAGUCUCGCGCCAUUCCGAGUCCGGCGGACGAAGUUGGCCAGCCCCAACCCCCAAGGCUAUAGCGCACCCGUUUUUGUGGCCUUUUUCCGCUGGACGAACUUGGCGCCCCGGCCUUCGGGCAUAUAUUUUUGGGCACGGCUUUGCCGACGGCCUAUUUUUGGCACACGGAGGCCCCUCAAAAAGUCUCGCGGCAUUCCGAGUCCGGCGGAUGAAGUGGGCCAGCUCCAGCCCCCAAGUCUAUAGUACCCGUUUUUGUGGCCUUUUUCCGCGGGACGAACUUGGCGCCCCGGCCUUCGGGCGGUUAUUUUUUAGCGCGGCUGUGCCCACAGCCUAUUUUAGUCACACGGAGGUGCCUCGCAAAGUCUCGCGCCAUUCCGAGUCCGGCGGACGAAGUUGGCCAGCCCCAUCCCCCAAGGCUAUAGCCCACCCAUUUUUGUGGCCUUUUUCCGCUGGACGAACUUGGCGUCCCGGCCUUCGGGCAGUUAUUUUUGGGUGCGGCUUUGCACACAGCCUAUUUUUGUCACACGGAGGCACCUCGCAAAGUCUCGCGCCAUUCCGAGUCCGCCGGACGAAUUUGGCCAGCCCCACCCCCCAAGGCUAUAGCCCACCCGUUUUUGUGGCCUUUUUCCGCUGGAUGAACUUGGCGCUCCGGCCUUCGGGCGGUUAUUUUUGGGCACGGCUGUGCCCGUGGCCUAUUUUUGGCACACGGAGGCACCUUGCAACGUCUCGCACCAUUCUGAGUCCCGCGGACGAAGUUGGCCAGCCCCACCCCCCAAGGCUAUAACCCACCCAUUUUUGUGGCCUUUUUCCGCUGGACGAACUUGGCGCCCCGGCCUUCGGGCGGUUAUUUUUGGGAGCGUCUGCGCCCGCGGCUUAUUUUUGGCACACGGAGGAGCCUUGCAAAGGCUCGGGCCAUUCCGAGUCCGGCGGACGAAGUGGGCCAGCCCCACCCCCUAAGGCUAUAGCCCACCCGUUUUUGUGGCCUUUUUCCGCUGGACGAACUUGGCGUCCCGGCCUGCGGGCUGUUAUUUUUGGGUGCGGCUUUGCCCACAGCCUAUUUUUGUCACACGGAGGCACCUCGCAAAGUCUCGCGCCAUUCCGAGUCCGGCGGACGAAGUUGGCCAGCCCCACCCCCCAAGGCUAUAGCCCACCCAUUUUUGUGGCCUUUUUCCGCUGGACGAACUUGGUGUCCCGGCCUUCGGGCAGUUAUUUUUGGGUGCGGCUUUGCCCGCAGCCUAUUUUUGGCACACGGAGGCCCCUCGCAAAGUCUCGCGGCAUUCCGAGUCCGGCGGACGAAGUCGGCCAGCCCCACCCCCCAAGGCUAUAGCCCACCCGUUUUUGUGGCCUUUUUCCGCGGGACGAACUUGGCGCCCCGGCCUUCGGGCAGUUAUUUUUGAGCGCGGCUGUGUCCGUGGCCUAUUUUUGGCACACGGAGGCGGCUCGCAAAGUCUUGCGCCAUUCCGAGUCCGGCGGACGAAGUUGGCCCGCCCCAACCCCCAAG